AUGGAGCCCAAAGAGAAGUCCGAAACGACCAGCGCUGCCAGCCCACCUCCACCGCGGCUGGACUGCAUAAAGUGCUUCGAUGCGCUAUGGUUCUGCUAUACCCCUUUCCACCAGCUGCAGACCUACUACCGCCAUGGGGAUUUUGACACCUGCUUCGGCAAGUGGGGCGACCUCGUUGACUGUCUCUCGCUCAAGACGAAGCGGAGGGCGGAGGUAGAGGAGAUCCUCAUCGCGCGGGAGAAGGCCAAGCCGCACAUCUGGACCUUCCGGACUGUCGAAGAGGCGCAGGCGAACUGGUGGCAGAUGUACAAGCACAAGGUGGUGAUGUCGUCGCCACCCAAGACUGUAGGUUCUGCUGCGCCUCCUCCUGGAUCAUCUGGUGCUCUUUCCUGA
This 393-nucleotide ribosomal RNA is filed under the name Triticum aestivum (bread wheat). RNAcentral's name for it is "partial small subunit ribosomal RNA". The record is from RNAcentral. Lineage: Eukaryota; Viridiplantae; Streptophyta; Magnoliopsida; Poales; Poaceae.